RNAcentral lists this ribosomal RNA (425 nucleotides) under uncultured bacterium. RNAcentral describes it as "bacterial SSU rRNA". It matches the Rfam family "Bacterial small subunit ribosomal RNA", at positions 355 to 796 of the family's 1533-position model. The record is from RNAcentral.
UUAGGAAUCUUGCACAAUGGGGGAAACCCUGAUGCAGCGACGCCGCGUGCGGGACGAAGGCCCUCGGGUCGUAAACCGCUUUCAGCAGGAACGAAAUUGACGGUACCUGCAGAAGAAGCCCCGGCCAACUACGUGCCAGCAGCCGCGGUAAUACGUAGGGGGCGAGCGUUGUCCGGAUUCAUUGGGCGUAAAGAGCUCGUAGGCGGUUCAGUAAGUCGGGUGUGAAAUCUCCGUGCUCAACACGGAGCGGCCACCUGAUACUGCUGUGACUCGAGUCCGGUAGGGGAGUGUGGAAUUCCCGGUGUAGCGGUGAAAUGCGCAGAUAUCGGGAGGAACACCAGUAGCGAAGGCGGCACUCUGGGCCGUGACUGACGCUGAGGAGCGAAAGCGUGGGUAGCAAACAGGAUUAGAUACCCCCGUAGUCC